This is a small nuclear RNA of 165 nucleotides. Its record names the gene U1. It matches the Rfam family "U1 spliceosomal RNA". Rfam says of the family: U1 is a small nuclear RNA (snRNA) component of the spliceosome (involved in pre-mRNA splicing). The record is from Ensembl.
AGAUUUACCUGGCAGGGGAGAUACCAUGAUCAAGAGGGUGGUUCACCCAGGGCGAGGCUCAGCCAUUGCACUUUGGCUGUGCUAAACACCUGCGAAUUCCCCAAACGUGGGAAUCUCGACUGCAUCAUUUCUGGUAGUGGGGGACUGGGUUCGCACUCUCCCCUG